UACGUAGGGGGCUAGCGUUGUCCGGAAUCAUUGGGCGUAAAGCGCGUGUAGGCGGUCCGGUAAGUCCGCUGUGAAAGUCGGGGGCUCAACCCUCGGAUGCCGGUGGAUACUGUCGGGCUUGAGUACGGAAGAGGCGAGUGGAAUUCCUGGUGUAGCGGUGAAAUGCGCAGAUAUCGAGAGGAACACCAGAGGUGAAGACGGGUUGCUGGGCCGACACUGACGCUGACAGCGCGAAAGCCAGGGGAGCAAACGGG
This 254-nucleotide ribosomal RNA is filed under the name uncultured bacterium. RNAcentral describes it as "partial 16S ribosomal RNA". It matches the Rfam family "Bacterial small subunit ribosomal RNA", at positions 524 to 776 of the family's 1533-position model. The record is from RNAcentral.